This is an RNA transcript of Dendrobium catenatum, 2533 nucleotides long. It is a transcript of the gene named putative pentatricopeptide repeat-containing protein At3g13770, mitochondrial, with no coding region annotated. The transcript is spliced from 3 exons. The record is from RefSeq and is a predicted model, not a curated record. NCBI's taxonomy places the organism in Eukaryota, Viridiplantae, Streptophyta, Magnoliopsida, Asparagales, Orchidaceae.
UUUUUAUAUAAAGAUGAUUAUUUGUAUAAUCGAUAUAGCCGUUAGGUUCUGAGUCAUUCAAAAUUCUUCACUAGUUUCACAUACCCGCCAAACAUGCUUGCCAAAAGGACCCCACUUAAUCCUCCACACUCGAAACUCUCCUCUCUCUCUUCUUAUACCUUCCUCUCUCAAUCAUCAACCCAAAUAAAUCUCCCGCCAGAUGCGCACCUUAAAUUUCUCUGUCUCAACGGUCGACUAAAGGAAGCCCUUAUUGAAAUGUCCAUUCUUGGAACAGACGUGAGGUUUCGAGGCUAUGAUGCUCUUAUCACAGAGUGUGUUAACCGAAAAGCUUUAAGAGAAGGACAACUAGUCCAUUCUCACAUGAUCAAGACUCAUUACCGAGCACCAGUUUACCUGGAUACAAGGCUGCUGAUUAUGUAUGAUAAGUGUGGGAAGUUGGAUGAUGCACGGGAGGUGUUCGAUGGAAUGCCUCAAAGGAAUAUUGUUUCAUGGACGGCAAUGAUCUCAGCUUAUUCUCAGAGGGGGUUCCAGUCUCUGGCUUUUGGUCUCUUUCGAUGGAUUCUGAGAACAGGUUUGUUUCCAAAUGAGUUUACUUUGGCUACUGUGCUGGCUUCCUGCAUUGGCCAUCUUGGACUUGAGCAUGGAAGGCAAGUGCACUCUCUUGCUAUCAAAAACAAUUAUAAUUCACACGUAUAUGUUGGAAGCUCCCUUCUAAAUAUGUAUGCAAAGGCUAGUGAAAUCCAUGAUGCUAGAAUGGUCUUCGAGUUCCUCCCUGUAAGAGAUGUAGUUUCUUGCACUUCUAUUAUUUCUGGUUAUGCCCAAUUAAACCUUGAUAAUGAAGCCUUGGAAAUGUUUCGAAAGCUUUACAAUCAGGGAAUGGAAUGCAACUAUGUCACAUUUGCCAGUCUUCUCACUUCCUUGGCCGGGCUUUCGGCUUUGGAGUAUGGUAAGCAAGUUCAUGGUCUUGUUAUUAGACUCCAGCUUCCAUUUUAUAUUGUUUUGCAGAAUUCUAUGAUUUACAUGUAUGCAAAAUGUGGCAGUCUCUUGUAUGCUAGGAGAGUUUUUGACUACAUGCCUGAGAGAACUGUAAUUAGUUGGAAUGCAAUGCUGCUGGGAUAUGGCGACCAUGGUUUAGGGAGAGAGGUGCUCUGUUUAUUUAAGUCCAUGAGGGAUGUGAAAUCAGACGCUGUUACUUAUACGGCUGUUCUAUCAGGAUGCAGCCAUGGAGGAUUGACUGAGGAAGGUCUUGGAGUUUUUUAUAGCAUGGUUGGAGACAAGGAAAUGGAACCUGAAAUCGGGCACUAUGCAUGCGUCGUAGACCUGCUUGGGCGCGCGGGGAGAAUAGAAAAGGCUCUUGAGUUCAUCAGGAAUAUGCCAUUUGAACCGAGCAUCGCCAUGUGGGGUUCAUUGCUAGGUGCUUGUAGAGUCCAUGGAAAUGUCUCAGCUGGAGAAUAUGUUGCUCAAAGACUUCUUUCUAUGGAGCCAAAAAAUGCUGGAAACUAUGUAAUUCUUUCCAAUAUUUAUGCUGAUGCUGGAAGAUGGGAGGAUGUGGUGAAGGUGAGAGAAAUGAUGAAAGAGAAUACAGUAAUUAAGGAACCUGGGAAAAGUUCGAUCAAUCUAAAUAAGACUGUUCAUACUUUCCGCUCGGGCGAUCGCUCCCAUCCUCAGAAGGAUAAAGUAAAUGCGAAGGUUAGGGAGUUGUACGAGAAGAUUAGAGAGGUUGGCUAUACUCCAGACUUGAGUUGUGUAUUGCAUGAUGUGGAUGAUGAACAGAAGGAGAGAAUAUUGCUUGGCCAUAGUGAAAAACUUGCAAUAGCAUUUGGGCUGAUGUUUAGUUCACAAGGUGGGAUUCUCAGAGUAACAAAGAACCUUAGAAUUUGUGUUGAUUGCCACAAUUUCGCGAAGCUUGUGUCAAAGGUUACUAAAAGAGAAUUAUCAGUGAGGGAUAGUAAACGUUUUCACCUUAUGGCCAAUGGAACAUGCUCUUGUGGAGAUUUCUGGUGAUUGAGCUUUUGAUUGUUUAUGCUAAUAAAGCCUUGGUUUGUACCAUUGAAUUGGAUCUUACCAGAAAAAAGAAGCAACAAGGAAAAGUUUUGCUUAGCUCUAUCCCUCUGGCAAAGUAGUGAUGACUUCAAACUGGAUAUCUAAGAGACUUUGGCUUCUUUUGGGACAGCUUUUUUCUGUUUCUUAAAACAAUUUUCUAGUCUAAAAAUUUGAAUUUUUUAACUAAAAAGCUGCCUUAAAAGCAGUAAAAAAGUGGUCUCAAACAAAGCUUUUGUUCGACGCACAACCAUAUUUUUCUGUGUUGAUUAUAUCAUCAACUUUCCAGAGUUGAAAAGAGAAGAUAGAGAUAAAUAUAAAUAAGCAUGCCAACUAGACUUGUGACAGACAAGGAUACAUUUAUGAAGUGGCAUUUAAUUUGAGGCCAGUAUAUUCAUGGAUUAGGCUAUGGCAGGCCCAACGAAGACUACCAUGGACCUAGGGGAAGCCAUUGACGGGCACAAGCGGCGGCGGAGGCGAUCCCAACAAUGUG